Non-coding RNA from Aedes aegypti (yellow fever mosquito), 117 nucleotides. The record is from Rfam. Lineage: Eukaryota; Metazoa; Arthropoda; Insecta; Diptera; Culicidae.
UGUCCAGCAACUCCUAUCCCUACCUCCUCGCGCUACUGGUCGGGGUACGAGUAACCUUGGGGAAGAUCGUGUAACCAACCCCCGGUGGGAACUUUGGUCGUAUGCUGACAGGGAAGG